Molecule: ribosomal RNA, 497 nt
Filed under: uncultured bacterium
Lineage: Bacteria
Description: partial 16S ribosomal RNA
Rfam family: Bacterial small subunit ribosomal RNA
Source: RNAcentral
GAUGAACGCUGGCGGCGUGCCUAAUACAUGCAAGUCGAGCGAACAGACGAGGAGCUUGCUCCUCUGACGUUAGCGGCGGACGGGUGAGUAACACGUGGAUAACCUACCUAUAAGACUGGGAUAACUUCGGGAAACCGGAGCUAAUACCGGAUAAUAUAUUGAACCGCAUGGUUCAAUAGUGAAAGACGGUUUUGCUGUCACUUAUAGAUGGAUCCGCGCCGCAUUAGCUAGUUGGUAAGGUAACGGCUUACCAAGGCGACGAUGCGUAGCCGACCUGAGAGGGUGAUCGGCCACACUGGAACUGAGACACGGUCCAGACUCCUACGGGAGGCAGCAGUAGGGAAUCUUCCGCAAUGGGCGAAAGCCUGACGGAGCAACGCCGCGUGAGUGAUGAAGGUCUUCGGAUCGUAAAACUCUGUUAUUAGGGAAGAACAAAUGUGUGAUUAACUAUGCACGUCUUGACGGUACCUAAUCAGAAAGCCACGGCUAACUACGUG